UAGUCUCUUCCUUCUCUUGUUAGGAUAAGCUCAAAAAUAGAAAGGACAAGUCCAAUUUUAGGACAAGAGUCUAGGAAGAGAAUUAAGGAAGACAAGGAGAGAAGAAAGGUAGGGAUAGGAAGGCUAGGAGAAGAGGAAGAGGGUCUUGAGGUCCUGGUGUUCAAGAAAAUUCUCAGAGUGAGAAUUUUGGAGGAGGAAUCAUCUUAAAGA
This 210-nucleotide long non-coding RNA is filed under the name Elaeis guineensis (African oil palm). RNAcentral describes it as "long non-coding RNA (EGUI_LNC039366)". The record is from RNAcentral. Lineage: Eukaryota; Viridiplantae; Streptophyta; Magnoliopsida; Arecales; Arecaceae.